GACGAACGCUGGCGGUGUGCUUAACACAUGCAAGUCGAACGGUAAGGCCCUUUCGGGGGUACACGAGUGGCGAACGGGUGAGUAACACGUGAGUAACCUGCCCUCAUCUCUGGGAUAACAGUCGGAAACGGUUGCUAAUACUGGAUAUGAGCCUGCAAGGCAUCUUGUGGGUUGGAAAGAUUUUUUGGUUGGGGAUGGACUCGCGGCCUAUCAGCUUGUUGGUGAGGUAGUGGCUCACCAAGGCUUCGACGGGUAGCCGGCCUGAGAGGGCGACCGGCCACAUUGGGACUGAGAUACGGCCCAAACUCCUACGGGAGGCAGCAGUGGGGAAUAUUGCACAAUGGACGGAAGGCUGAUGCAGCAACGCCGCGUGCGGGAGGACGGCCUUCGGGUUGUAAACCGCUUUCAAUUGUGACGAAGCUUUUUGUGACGGUAGCAGUAGAAGAAGCACCGGCUAACUACGUG
Molecule: ribosomal RNA, 465 nt
Filed under: uncultured bacterium
Lineage: Bacteria
Description: partial 16S ribosomal RNA
Rfam family: Bacterial small subunit ribosomal RNA
Source: RNAcentral